AAUAUUUGACAAUGGGGGGAACCCUGAUCCAGCCAUGCCGCGCGUGUGAAGAAGGUCUUCGGAUUGUAAAGCACUUCAAGAUGGGGGGAAGAGUUGUAGGCUAAUACCUUGCAAUUUUGACGUUACCAACAGAAUAAGCACCGGCUAACUUCCUGCCAGCAGCCGAGGUAAUACGAAGGGUGCAAGCGUUAAUCGGAAUUACUGGGCGUAAAGCGCGCGUAGGUAGUUCGUUAAGUUGGAAGUGAAAGCCCCGAGCUUAACCUGGGAACUGAUUGCAAAACUGGCAAGCUAGAGUAUGGCAGAGGGUGGUGGAAUUUCCUGUGUAGCGGUGAAAUGCGUAGAUAUAGGAAGGAACACCAGUGGCGAAGGCGACCACCUGGGCUAAUACUGACACUGAGGUGCGAAAGCGUGGGGAGCAAACAGG
This 424-nucleotide ribosomal RNA is filed under the name uncultured bacterium. RNAcentral describes it as "partial 16S ribosomal RNA". It matches the Rfam family "Bacterial small subunit ribosomal RNA", at positions 360 to 776 of the family's 1533-position model. The record is from RNAcentral.